CCUUGUACACACCGCCCGUCAAGUCAUGGGAGCGGGGAGUACCCGAAGUCCGCUUAGCUAACCUCACGGAUGCGGCGGCCGACGGUAAGCUCCGUGACUGGGACU
RNAcentral lists this ribosomal RNA (105 nucleotides) under uncultured bacterium. RNAcentral's name for it is "partial 16S ribosomal RNA". It matches the Rfam family "Bacterial small subunit ribosomal RNA", at positions 1379 to 1482 of the family's 1533-position model. The record is from RNAcentral.